AAGAACGCAGCGAAAUGCGAUAAGUAGUGUGAAUUGCAGAAUUCAGUGAAUCAUCGAAUCUUUGAACGCACAUUGCGCCCCUUUGGUAUUCCAAAGGGCAUGCCUGUUCGAGCGUCAUUUGUACCCUCAAGCUUUGCUUGGUGUUGGGCGUCUUGUCUCUAGCUUUGCUGGAGACUCGCCUUAAAGUAAUUGGCAGCCGGCCUACUGGUUUCGGAGCGCAGCACAAGUCGCACUCUCUAUCAGCAAAGGUCUAGCAUCCAUUAAGCCUUUUUUUCAACUUUUGACCUCGGAUCAGGUAGGGAUACCCGCUGAACUUAAGCAUAUCAAUAAGCGGAGGAA
RNAcentral lists this ribosomal RNA (339 nucleotides) under uncultured organism. RNAcentral's name for it is "eukaryotic LSU rRNA". The stretch from base 1 to 117 matches the Rfam family "5.8S ribosomal RNA", at positions 39 to 154 of the family's 154-position model. The record is from RNAcentral.